RNAcentral lists this transfer RNA (66 nucleotides) under Aporia hippia. RNAcentral's name for it is "tRNA-Pro". Lineage: Eukaryota; Metazoa; Arthropoda; Insecta; Lepidoptera; Pieridae. The record is from RNAcentral.
CAAAGAAUAUUUUAAUAAAAAUAAUAAUUUUGGAGAUUAUAGAUAUGGGUAAUUCUUUUUCUUUGA